This 75-nucleotide transfer RNA is filed under the name Paracoccus sp. (in: a-proteobacteria). RNAcentral describes it as "tRNA-Gly". It matches the Rfam family "tRNA". Rfam says of the family: Transfer RNA (tRNA) molecules are approximately 80 nucleotides in length. Their secondary structure includes four short double-helical elements and three loops (D, anti-codon, and T loops). Lineage: Bacteria; Pseudomonadati; Pseudomonadota; Alphaproteobacteria; Rhodobacterales; Paracoccaceae. The record is from RNAcentral. RNAcentral also lists the same sequence under 18 other names.
GCGGGUGUAGUUCAGUGGUAGAACGUCAGCUUCCCAAGCUGAAUGUCGUCGGUUCGAUCCCGAUCACCCGCUCCA